AAUCCAUAGGUUAAUGAGGCGAACCGGGGGAACUGAAACAUCUAAGUACCCCGAGGAAAAGAAAUCAACCGAGAUUCCCCCAGUAGCGGCGAGCGAACGGGGAGGAGCCCAGAGCCUGAAUCAGCAUGUGUGUUAGUGGAAGCGUCUGGAAAGGCGCGCGAUACAGGGUGACAGCCCCGUACACAAAAGCGCAUGUGCUGUGAGCUCGAUGAGUAGGGCGGGACACGUGGUAUCCUGUCUGAAUAUGGGGGGACCAUCCUCCAAGGCUAAAUACUCCUGACUGACCGAUAGUGAACCAGUACCGUGAGGGAAAGGCGAAAAGAACCCCGGCGAGGGGAGUGAAAAAGAACCUGAAACCGUGUACGUACAAGCAGUGGGAGCACAGGUUUACCUGUGUGACUGCGUACCUUUUGUAUAAUGGGUCAGCGACUUAUAUUCUGUAGCAAGGUUAACCGAAUAGGGGAGCCGGAGGGAAACCGAGUCUUAAUUGGGCGUUAAGUUGCAGGGUAUAGACCCGAAACCCGGUGAUCUAGCCAUGGGCAGGUUGAAGGUUGGGUAACACUAACUGGAGGACCGAACCGACUAAUGUUGAAAAAUUAGCGGAUGACCUGUGGCUGGGGGUGAAAGGCCAAUCAAACCGGGAGAUAGCUGGUUCUCCCCGAAAGCUAUUUAGGUAGCGCCUCGUGAAUUCAUCUCCGGGGGUAGAGCACUGUUUCGGCUAGGGGGCCAUCCCGGCUUACCAACCCGAUGCAAACUGCGAAUACCGGAGAAUGUUAUCACGGGAGACACACGGCGGGUGCUAACGUCCGUCGUGAAGAGGGAAACAACCCAGACCGCCAGCUAAGGUCCCAAAGUCAUGGUUAAGUGGGAAACGAUGUGGGAAGGCCCAGACAGCCAGGAUGUUGGCUUAGAAGCAGCCAUCAUUUAAAGAAAGCGUAAUAGCUCACUGGUCGAGUCGGCCUGCGCGGAAGAUGUAACGGGGCUAAACCAUGCACCGAAGCUGCGGCAGCGACGCUUAUGCGUUGUUGGGUAGGGGAGCGUUCUGUAAGCCUGCGAAGGUGGCCUGUGAGGGUUGCUGGAGGUAUCAGAAGUGCGAAUGCUGACAUAAGUAACGAUAAAGCGGGUGAAAAGCCCGCUCGCCGGAAGACCAAGGGUUCCUGUCCAACGUUAAUCGGGGCAGGGUGAGUCGACCCCUAAGGCGAGGCCGAAAGGCGUAGUCGAUGGGAAACGGGUUAAUAUUCCCGUACUUGGUGUUACUGCGAAGGGGGGACGGAGAAGGCUAUGUUGGCCGGGCGACGGUUGUCCCGGUUUAAGCGUGUAGGUGUGUGUUCCAGGUAAAUCCGGUUCACUUUAACACUGAGGCGUGACGACGAGGCACUACGGUGCUGAAGCAACAAAUGCCCUGCUUCCAGGAAAAGCCUCUAAGCAUCAGGUAACAUCAAAUCGUACCCCAAACCGACACAGGUGGUCAGGUAGAGAAUACCAAGGCGCUUGAGAGAACUCGGGUGAAGGAACUAGGCAAAAUGGUGCCGUAACUUCGGGAGAAGGCACGCUGACACGUAGGUGAAGUGAUUUACUCAUGGAGCUGAAGUCAGUCGAAGAUACCAGCUGGCUGCAACUGUUUAUUAAAAACACAGCACUGUGCAAACACGAAAGUGGACGUAUACGGUGUGACGCCUGCCCGGUGCCGGAAGGUUAAUUGAUGGGGUCAGCGCAAGCGAAGCUCCUGAUCGAAGCCCCGGUAAACGGCGGCCGUAACUAUAACGGUCCUAAGGUAGCGAAAUUCCUUGUCGGGUAAGUUCCGACCUGCACGAAUGGCGUAAUGAUGGCCAGGCUGUCUCCACCCGAGACUCAGUGAAAUUGAACUCGCUGUGAAGAUGCAGUGUACCCGCGGCAAGACGGAAAGACCCCGUGAACCUUUACUAUAGCUUGACACUGAACAUUGAGCCUUGAUGUGUAGGAUAGGUGGGAGGCUUUGAAGUGUGGACGCCAGUCUGCAUGGAGCCGACCUUGAAAUACCACCCUUUAAUGUUUGAUGUUCUAACGUGGACCCGUUACCCGGGUUGCGGACAGUGUCUGGUGGGUAGUUUGACUGGGGCGGUCUCCUCCUAAAGAGUAACGGAGGAGCACGAAGGUUGGCUAAUCCUGGUCGGACAUCAGGAGGUUAGUGCAAUGGCAUAAGCCAGCUUGACUGCGAGCGUGACGGCGCGAGCAGGUGCGAAAGCAGGUCAUAGUGAUCCGGUGGUUCUGAAUGGAAGGGCCAUCGCUCAACGGAUAAAAGGUACUCCGGGGAUAACAGGCUGAUACCGCCCAAGAGUUCAUAUCGACGGCGGUGUUUGGCACCUCGAUGUCGGCUCAUCACAUCCUGGGGCUGAAGUAGGUCCCAAGGGUAUGGCUGUUCGCCAUUUAAAGUGGUACGCGAGCUGGGUUUAGAACGUCGUGAGACAGUUCGGUCCCUAUCUGCCGUGGGCGCUGGAGAACUGAGGGGGGCUGCUCCUAGUACGAGAGGACCGGAGUGGACGCAUCACUGGUGUUCGGGUUGUCAUGCCAAUGGCACUGCCCGGUAGCUAAAUGCGGAAGAGAUAAGUGCUGAAAGCAUCUAAGCACGAAACUUGCCCCGAGAUGAGUUCUCCCUGAGACUUAAAGUCUCCUGAAGGAACGUUGAAGACGACGACGUUGAUAGGCCGGGUGUGUAAGCGCAGCGAUGCGUUGAGCUAACCGGUACUAAUGAACCGUGAGGCUUAACCUUACAACGCCGAAG
This 2761-nucleotide ribosomal RNA is filed under the name Salmonella enterica subsp. enterica serovar Enteritidis. RNAcentral describes it as "partial 23S ribosomal RNA". It matches the Rfam family "Bacterial large subunit ribosomal RNA". The record is from RNAcentral. Lineage: Bacteria; Pseudomonadati; Pseudomonadota; Gammaproteobacteria; Enterobacterales; Enterobacteriaceae.